This 397-nucleotide ribosomal RNA is filed under the name uncultured bacterium. RNAcentral's name for it is "partial 16S ribosomal RNA". It matches the Rfam family "Bacterial small subunit ribosomal RNA", at positions 523 to 918 of the family's 1533-position model. The record is from RNAcentral.
AUACGUAGGUGACAAGCGUUAUCCGGAUUUACUGGGCGUAAAGGGCGUGUAGGCGGUCUUGCAAGUCAGAAGUGAAAUUCCUGAGCUCAACUCGGGCGCUGCUUCUGAAACUGCAGGACUUGAGUGCUGGAGGGGAUAGCGGAAUUCCUAGUGGAGCGGUAAAAUGCGCAGAUAUUAGGAAGAACACCGGUGGCGAAGGCGGCUAUCUGGACAGUAACUGACGCUGAGGCGCGAAAGCGUGGGGAGCAAACAGGAUUAGAUACCCUGGUAGUCCACGCCGUGAACGAUGAAUACUAGGUGUAGGGGGUAUCGACUCCCUCUGUGCCGCAGUUAACACAAUAAGUAUUCCGCCUGGGGAGUACGGCCGCAAGGUUGAAACUCAAAUGAAUUGACGGGG